GACGAACGCUGGCGGCGUGCUUAACACAUGCAAGUGGAGCGACGAACCGGGGCUUGCCCCGGGGCAGAGCCGCGAACGGGUGAGUAACACGUGGGUAACCUGCCUCAAUGAUUGGGACAACCCGGGGAAACUCGGGCUAAUACCAAAUGUGUUCACUCCUUCUAAGGGGAGUGAGGAAAGGAAGCUUCGGCCUCCGCAUUGAGAUGGGCCCGCGGCCCAUUAGCUUGUUGGUGAGGUAACGGCUCACCAAGGCUUCGAUGGUAGCUGGUCUGAGAGGACGAUCAGCCACACUGGGACUGAGACACGGCCCAGACUCCUACAGGAGGCAGCAGUGGGGAAUCUUGCGCAAUGCGCGAAAGCGUGAUGCAGCAACGCCGCGUGGGGGAAGACGGCC
Molecule: ribosomal RNA, 394 nt
Filed under: uncultured bacterium
Lineage: Bacteria
Description: bacterial SSU rRNA
Rfam family: Bacterial small subunit ribosomal RNA
Source: RNAcentral